This 400-nucleotide ribosomal RNA is filed under the name phytoplankton environmental sample. RNAcentral describes it as "partial small subunit ribosomal RNA". It matches the Rfam family "Eukaryotic small subunit ribosomal RNA", at positions 587 to 975 of the family's 1831-position model. The record is from RNAcentral.
AGCUCCAAUAGCGUAUAUUAAAGUUGCUGCAGUUAAAAAGCUCGUAGUUGGAUUUGUGGCGCGGCCGUCCGGCGGGGGUCCUUCUAUGGUCUCGUUUGUCCUGGUUUUCGGCCGCUCCUUUCUCGGGUAGAGCGUAAUGGCUGGCAUUAGGUUGUCGGCCGCUUCGCGCCCGUCGUUUACUGUGAAAAAAUUAGAGUGUUCAAAGCAGGCUUAGGCCGUUGGAUACAUUAGCAUGGAAUAAUGAGAUAGGGCCACGGCGGUCUAUUUUGUUGGUUUGCACGUUGUGGUAAUGAUUAACAGGAACGGUUGGGGGUAUUCGUAUUCAAUUGUCAGAGGUGAAAUUCUUGGAUUUAUGAAAGACGAACAGCUGCGAAAGCGUUUGCCAAGGAUGUUUUCACUG